RNAcentral lists this ribosomal RNA (253 nucleotides) under uncultured bacterium. Its description in RNAcentral is "partial 16S ribosomal RNA". It matches the Rfam family "Bacterial small subunit ribosomal RNA", at positions 524 to 776 of the family's 1533-position model. The record is from RNAcentral.
UACGGAGGAGGCAAGCGCUAUCCGGGCUUAUUGGGCGGAAAGCGUCGGUAGGUGGUUGACCAAGUCUGCUGUCACAGGGUGGGGCUUAACCUCAUAAAGGCAGUGGAAACUGGUGAGCUAGAGUGCGGUAGGGGUAAGGGGAAUUCCCAGUGUAGCGGUGAAAUGCGUAGAGAUUGGGAAGAACAUCGGUGGCGAAAGCGACUUGCUGGGCCUGCGCUGACACUGAGGGACGAAAGCUAGGGGAGCGAAAGGG